This 77-nucleotide transfer RNA is filed under the name candidate division BRC1 bacterium ADurb.BinA292. RNAcentral's name for it is "tRNA-Arg". It matches the Rfam family "tRNA". Rfam says of the family: Transfer RNA (tRNA) molecules are approximately 80 nucleotides in length. Lineage: Bacteria; Candidatus Sumerlaeota. The record is from RNAcentral.
GUCCCCGUGGCUCAGCAGGAUAGAGCAACGGAUUCCUAAUCCGUAGGUCGCAGGUUCGAAUCCUGCCGGGGACGCCA